AGGGAAACUUACGCUAAUACCGCAUACGACCUACGGGUGAAAGCAGGGGAUCUUCGGACCUUGCGCGAUUGAAUGAGCCGAUGUCGGAUUAGCUAGUUGGCGGGGUAAAGGCCCACCAAGGCGACGAUCCGUAGCUGGUCUGAGAGGAUGAUCAGCCACACUGGAACUGAGACACGGUCCAGACUCCUACGGGAGGCAGCAGUGGGGAAUAUUGGACAAUGGGCGCAAGCCUGAUCCAGCCAUACCGCGUGGGUGAAGAAGGCCUUCGGGUUGUAAAGCCCUUUUGUUGGGAAAGAAAUCCAGCUGGUUAAUACCCGGUUGGGAUGACGGUACCCAAAGAAUAAGCACCGGCUAACUUCGUGCCAGCAGCCGCGGUAAUACGAAGGGUGCAAGCGUUACUCGGAAUUACUGGGCGUAAAGCGUGCGUAGGUGGUCGUUUAAGUCCGUUGUGAAAGCCCUGGGCUCAACCUGGGAACUGCAGUGGAUACUGGNCGACUAGAGUGUGGUAGAGGGUAGCGGAAUUCCUGGUGUAGCAGUGAAAUGCGUAGAGAUCAGGAGGAACAUCCAUGGCGAA
RNAcentral lists this ribosomal RNA (574 nucleotides) under Stenotrophomonas sp. Its description in RNAcentral is "bacterial SSU rRNA". It matches the Rfam family "Bacterial small subunit ribosomal RNA", at positions 150 to 719 of the family's 1533-position model. Lineage: Bacteria; Pseudomonadati; Pseudomonadota; Gammaproteobacteria; Lysobacterales; Lysobacteraceae. The record is from RNAcentral.